GAUGAACGCUGGCGGCGUGCCUAAUACAUGCAAGUCGAGCGAACGGACGAGAAGCUUGCUUCUCUGAUGUUAGCGGCGGACGGGUGAGUAACACGUGGAUAACCUACCUAUAAGACUGGGAUAACUUCGGGAAACCGGAGCUAAUACCGGAUGAUAUUUUGAACCGCAUGGUUCAAAAGUGAAAGACGGUCUUGCUGUCACUUAUAGAUGGAUCCGCGCUGCAUUAGCUAGUUGGUAAGGUAACGGUUUACCAAGGCAACGAUGCAUAGCCGACCUGAGAGGGUGAUCGACCACACUGGAACGGAGACACGGUCCAGAGUCCUACGGGAGGCAGCAGUAGGGAAUCUUCCGCAACGGGCGAAAGCCUGACGGAGCAACGCCGCGUGAGUGAUGAAGGUCUUCGGAUCGUAAAACUCUGUUAUUAGGGAAGAACAUAUGUGUAAGUAACUGUGCACAUCUUGACGGUACCUAAUCAGAAAGCCACGGCUAACUACGUG
This 497-nucleotide ribosomal RNA is filed under the name uncultured bacterium. RNAcentral describes it as "partial 16S ribosomal RNA". It matches the Rfam family "Bacterial small subunit ribosomal RNA", at positions 28 to 507 of the family's 1533-position model. The record is from RNAcentral.